UUAGAUUUUUUUUGGUUCCAGUUUUCUGUCUCAGUUGGGAGGGCAUUUCCAACAAGAUUACUGAAAGAAAGAAUAGUAGGAAAUCUUAAUCAACUUAACUAUACUAUUUUUGUGCUAAUGAAGUAGCUGGAAUGACAGGAGGAACUCAGCAGGAAGAGAACAAUAGCAUGUUUACGCAAUACUGAAGUUUGGAAUGCUAUGCAGUGGAAAUGAGAAGACAGCUCUUUUGUUCUGGAAGAAUAUUUGCAAUAAAAUAACACAACCUAAAGAAGGAAGUCAUAUCUCAAGUAACGGUACAUGAUAUCCUGUGUGAAUAAGGAAAUUAUUUGAAGCACUGAAUGAUAAACUUGGCCUUUUAUGUGCAGUCUUCAGCAUCCGCUGUUGACUAUUA
Centrocercus urophasianus (Greater sage-grouse) is the source of this 391-nucleotide long non-coding RNA. RefSeq lists it as uncharacterized. Lineage: Eukaryota; Metazoa; Chordata; Aves; Galliformes; Phasianidae. The transcript has 3 exons. The record is from RefSeq and is a predicted model, not a curated record.